GAUAGAGGGUGAAAUCUUGGCCUCAAUGAAGUCAAUGGGAGUUUUGCCAUUAUUUAGCAGGACCAGGAUUUCAUUAACUUGAACAUUUGAAAAAGGUCUUUAUGGUUUAUUCCUCCUCUUUUAAUUAUUUAUUAUUUGUAUUGUGGGAGUGGCCAAAGGCCCCUAUUGAGACCACUGAGCUCUGCACUAGAUGUACAGGUAGACACUGUCCCUGUCCCAAACAGCUUCCAGUCAGGCACUUAAAAUAUUGUCCUCACACAUUGUGCUUAGUCAGUAAGGUCUGAAACUGCUGAGCCAAAUCCUGUCCUCCGGUAAACUUCUGGAACCCUGUUUCCACACUGGCCCAUCUUUGGCGGGGAUAUCAGGUUGGAGCAGGGAAGUGAUAUUACCUCUGUAUACAAUAUGGAUGAGAUCACAAGUGGAAUACUGUGUCCUGUUCUGAUAUUCAUACUUUUAAAAAGUAUGUUGGAAAUUAGAGAGCGUUCAGCAAAGAACCACAGGAAUGAUUCAGGUCUAGAAAACUUGCUUUACAAUGUCAGACUAAGAAUUUCAAUCUAUAUAUUUUAUAGAGAAGAUUGAGAUGACUUGACCACUGUGUGUUAGUUUAAGAAGAAGAUAUCUGAAGCUGGGGGUGUUUAAUCUAGCAGAACUUGAUCUAGUGGCUGGAAGUUGAUGCUGGACAGGUUUCAACUGCAAAUAAAGGGACUAUUUUGACAGUGACAAUAAUUAACUACUCAAACAAUUUAGAAGAGGUGUGGUAGACUCUCCAUUAUUUAAGGUCUUUAAAUCAAGACUGGAUGUUAUUCUAAAAGAUGCCUCCAUUCAGUCACAGACUAUUAAGAUUGAUGCAGAAAUUUCUUGGCAGUAUUCUACAGCCUCUGCAGUUGCAGAAGGUUAGAAUAGAUAAUCAUAUUGUCCUUUCUGGUCUUUAGAUCUAUCAAACUGUGGAAGGUGUAACUAAAAGCAGAAUUUUUCCAAUUUCUUUAUUACGUGUGAUGAUGCCUGAGACGGCAAAAUCCCAGCUUCAGUUACUGAAGCUGUGUUCGGGAGUCAGGCAUUUAGAAAAAACACUUUGUUGCUUGUAGAAGAUCUGGAGUCCAUAAAAAUAAACAUACCCCACAAUGCCAUUUUUACAGAGUACUGCACUGUAAAGUUGCAAGCAAGUUUUGCAAGAUUAAAUUUGAAAGAAAAUCAUAUUUUCUGUCUGUUUCCCCUCAAGUUCUCAGUUAGUUACUUUCAUCAUUGUGUUGUGUUCUGGCUUAAUCUAUUCUACUAUUUUGUCCAGACUGUCUAACUUGUCAGAGUGAGUCUGGAUAGCAUUAGUCAUGCCCAACUGUAGGUGAUCCAGGGGCUGUUUCACCAUUUCAUUAGUCCAGUGUGGAGUUACACAGGCAUAAAACUGCAGUAAUGUAGGGCUAAAUCAAGUCCUCAGUGUUUAGCCUAAGUAAGGGGGCAUGGAUCAGCUUCAUCUCAUGCUCCCCAUUAGUGCCCAGGCUGGGGAAGCUAAUGAUCUAACCGGCGGACCAAAUUCAGUGAUGAAUCCUGGUCACAUGCCACCUGAAGUAUGUUGUGCACACGCCAAGAAGAUGACCCUAAGUUCUUCUGCUCUGGGUCUGUAACGCAUAUCCUACAGGUUGAGAUGAACCAGAGCUGGGCCUGCAAUGGCAGCAGGAUUGGCAACAUACUGCUUGGAGGGAAGAUAGUAUGUGUGUGGCCCAAAACAACAUCCCAAUAAUAGUUGUUGCCAUUGACUCCAGAGGGGCCAGUAUUUGAUCCAUG
Molecule: long non-coding RNA, 1779 nt
Organism: Gopherus evgoodei (Goodes thornscrub tortoise)
Lineage: Eukaryota; Metazoa; Chordata; Testudines; Testudinidae
Exons: 4
Source: RefSeq, a predicted model, not a curated record